UACGUAGGGUGCGAGCGUUGUCCGGAAUUAUUGGGCGUAAAGGGCUCGUAGGCGGUCUGUCACGUCGGGUGUGAAAACUCGGGGCUUAACUCCGAGCCUGCUUCUGAUACGGGCAGACUAGAGGUAUGCAGGGGAGAAUGGAAUUCCUGGUGUAGCGGUGAAAUGCGCAGAUAUCUGGAGGAACACCGGUGGCGAAGGCGGCAUCCUGGACCGAUAUUGACGCUGAUGCGCGAAAGCCAGGGGAGCAAACGGG
RNAcentral lists this ribosomal RNA (253 nucleotides) under uncultured bacterium. RNAcentral's name for it is "partial 16S ribosomal RNA". It matches the Rfam family "Bacterial small subunit ribosomal RNA", at positions 524 to 776 of the family's 1533-position model. The record is from RNAcentral.